RNAcentral lists this unclassified non-coding RNA (285 nucleotides) under Ambisporaceae sp. RNAcentral's name for it is "partial contains 5.8S ribosomal RNA and internal transcribed spacer 2". The stretch from base 1 to 71 matches the Rfam family "5.8S ribosomal RNA", at positions 84 to 154 of the family's 154-position model. Lineage: Eukaryota; Fungi; Glomeromycota; Glomeromycetes; Archaeosporales; Ambisporaceae. The record is from RNAcentral.
GUGAAUCAUCGAAUCUUUGAACGCAUAUUGCACUCUCUGGUAUUCCGGAGAGUAUGCCUGUUUGAGGGUAAUUAAAAAAAAUCUUUAACCAAUUUUUUUGGUCAAAGGAAAUGAGCUCUCCGCGUUUAUAGCGUUAUCUUGAAAUAAAUGGUCAAGUCUCGUUUUAGUCGAGACGCGUUAUAAUAUUAUUACGCGAAAUCUUCAUUAUGUGACUAUCAAUAUUUUAUGCAUACAAAUUUUCUUUGUAUUCGAUUAAUACAUAUAUUGUUAACAUUACCUCAAAUC